This 333-nucleotide long non-coding RNA is filed under the name Carica papaya (papaya). Its description in RNAcentral is "long non-coding RNA (CPAP_LNC007127)". Lineage: Eukaryota; Viridiplantae; Streptophyta; Magnoliopsida; Brassicales; Caricaceae. The record is from RNAcentral.
UCCAUUCCUAUCAAACAUUCAAUUGCAUUUUGCUAAUUAAUUAAAAGAGACAAACUGAAUACAGCCAUUACAAAAUUAAAUAACCUACAUAUUACUGAAACGAGAAGGAAGAUGCUAUGUCCAUGGAAAUAUUAGUGAAAUCCAGAAGGAAAUUUUUGAAAAUUGUGCAGGAUAUAAGUGGUGCAGUUAACUACGAUCCAUUGGCGGACAAAACACAGCCGACAGUUUGGAGAGGAUGGUGGCGAUUAGACGACUAAAAAAGAAUUCUUAAUCCUUUACUCCCCUCUUUACUGUCCUUAAUGGAGAGUUAGAAAAACACUAGAUAAGAUAGAU